UGGGGAAUAUUGGACAAUGGGCGAGAGCCUGAUCCAGCCAUGCCGCGUGCAGGAAGACGGCCCUAUGGGUUGUAAACUGCUUUUAUACAGGAAGAAACCCCUUCACGUGUGGAGGAUUGACGGUACUGUAGGAAUAAGGGUCGGCUAACUUCGUG
This 155-nucleotide ribosomal RNA is filed under the name uncultured Bacteroidota bacterium. Its description in RNAcentral is "uncultured Bacteroidetes bacterium partial 16S ribosomal RNA". It matches the Rfam family "Bacterial small subunit ribosomal RNA", at positions 355 to 507 of the family's 1533-position model. The record is from RNAcentral. Lineage: Bacteria; Pseudomonadati; Bacteroidota.